GUGUUCACUUCGGCAACAUAUAUACUAAAAUUGGAACAAUAUAGAGAAGAUUAGCAUGGCCACUGCACAAGAAUGACAUGCAAAUUCAUGAAGUGUUCCAUAUUUUU
This is a small nuclear RNA of Marmota marmota marmota (Alpine marmot), 107 nucleotides long. The record is from Ensembl. Lineage: Eukaryota; Metazoa; Chordata; Mammalia; Rodentia; Sciuridae.